This 77-nucleotide transfer RNA is filed under the name Burkholderiales bacterium. RNAcentral's name for it is "tRNA-Ile". It matches the Rfam family "tRNA". Rfam says of the family: Transfer RNA (tRNA) molecules are approximately 80 nucleotides in length. Their secondary structure includes four short double-helical elements and three loops (D, anti-codon, and T loops). Lineage: Bacteria; Pseudomonadati; Pseudomonadota; Betaproteobacteria; Burkholderiales. The record is from RNAcentral. RNAcentral also lists the same sequence under 1 other name.
GGGCCGUUAGCUCAGUUGGUUAGAGCAGAGGACUCAUAAUCCUUUGGUCGGGGGUUCAAGUCCCUCACGGCCUACCA